CCUACGGGUGGCAGCAGUGAGGAAUAUUGGUCAAUGGGCGGGAGCCUGAACCAGCCAAGCCGCGUGAGGGAAGAAGGUACAGCGUAUCGUAAACCUCUUUUGUCAGGGAACAAAGGCGGGGACUAGUCCCCGGAUGCGGGUACCUGAAGAAAAAGCAUCGGCUAACUCCGUUCCAGCAGCCGCGGUAAUACGGAGGAUGCGAGCGUUAUCCGGAUUUAUUGGGUUUAAAGGGUGCGUGGGCGGCCUGUUAAGUCAGCGGGAAAAGCCCGGGGCUCAACCCCGUAGAGCCGUUGAAACUGGCGGGCUGGAGUGGGAGAGAAGUACGCGGAAUGCGUGGUGUAGCGGUGAAAUGCUUAGAGAUCGCGCAGAACCCCGAUGGCGAAGGCAGCGUACCGGCUCCACACUGACGCUGAGGCACGAAAGCGUGGGUAUCGAACAGGAUUAGAUACCCUGGUAGUC
Molecule: ribosomal RNA, 459 nt
Filed under: uncultured bacterium
Lineage: Bacteria
Description: partial 16S ribosomal RNA
Rfam family: Bacterial small subunit ribosomal RNA
Source: RNAcentral